UGGGGAAUAUUGCACAAUGGGCGGAAGCCUGAUGCAGCGACGCCGCGUGGGGGAUGAAGGCCUUCGGGUUGUAAACUCCUUUCGACAGGGACGAAGCGUAAGUGACGGUACCUGUAUAAGAAGCACCGGCUAACUCCGUGCCAGCAGCCGCGGUAAUACGGAGGGUGCGAGCGUUAAUCGGAAUAACUGGGCGUAAAGGGCACGCAGGCGGACUUUUAAGUGAGGUGUGAAAUCCCCGGGCUUAACCUGGGAAUUGCAUUUCAGACUGGGGGUCUAGAGUACUUUAGGGAGGGGUAGAAUUCCACGUGUAGCGGUGAAAUGCGUAGAGAUGUGGAGGAAUACCGAAGGCGAAGGCAGCCCCUUGGGAAUGUACUGACGCUCAUGUGCGAAAGCGUGGGGAGCAAACAGGAUUAGAUACCCUGGUAGUCCACGCUGUAAACGCUGUCGAUUUGGGGAUUGGGCCUUGAGCUUGGUGCCCGAAGCUAACGUGAUAAAUCGACCGCCUGGGGAGUACGGCCGCAAGGUUA
Molecule: ribosomal RNA, 527 nt
Filed under: uncultured bacterium
Lineage: Bacteria
Description: bacterial SSU rRNA
Rfam family: Bacterial small subunit ribosomal RNA
Source: RNAcentral